CCAUCGAGUCUUUGAACGCAAGUUGCGCCCCAAGCCGUCAGGCCGAGGGCACGUCUGCCUGGGUGUCACGCAUCGUUGCCCCCCCCCAGAUCAUGCGAUACUGCGGCGGCGGGCGGAGAUUGGCCUCCCGCGUGCCCGCGCGCGCGGUUGGCCCAAAUUCGAGCUCUCGGCGACGCUUCCCGCGACRAUCGGUGGCGUUCGAAACGGAACCUAGUGAUCCUGUCGCGCGGUGGCGAUCUCCCGACCGAAGGGCUCCUCGACCCUCGAGAGCGGGCGACGGCCCGCUCGCUUCGCGACCCCAGGUCAGGCGGGAUCACCCGCUGAGUUUAAGCAUAUCAAUAAGCGGAGGAAAAGAAACUUACCAGGAUUCCCCUAGUAACGGCGAGCGAACCGGGAA
Molecule: ribosomal RNA, 397 nt
Filed under: Drimycarpus racemosus
Lineage: Eukaryota; Viridiplantae; Streptophyta; Magnoliopsida; Sapindales; Anacardiaceae
Description: eukaryotic LSU rRNA
Source: RNAcentral